AUCGAACGCUGGCGGCAGGCUUAACACAUGCAAGUCGAACGGUUAAGGCCUUCUUGCUCUUGGCUUCAGCGGCGCACGUGUGUAACACGCCUGUAAAUCUGCCUGGACUUGGGGGUAAACGUCGGAAACUGGGCGCUAUUACCGCUUACUUCCUGUGCGGCAUGGUGGGGGUUGGUCGGCCCCGGCGGUUGUGGAUGGACUCGCGGCGUAUCAGCUAGUUGGUGGGGUAGAGGCCUACCAAGGCGACGACCGGUAACUGGCCUGAGAGGGUGACCGGUCACAAUGGGACUGAGAGACGGCCCAGACUCCUACGGGAGGCAGCAGUCGGGAGUAUUGCACAAUGGGGGCAAGCGUGAGGCAGCAACGCCGCGUGCGGGAUGACGGCCAUCGGGUUGUAAAGCGCAUUCAGCUGAGACGUAGCUUUUUGGACGUGUACAUGAAGAAGAAGAACGGCUUACUUAGGG
Molecule: ribosomal RNA, 464 nt
Filed under: uncultured bacterium
Lineage: Bacteria
Description: partial 16S ribosomal RNA
Rfam family: Bacterial small subunit ribosomal RNA
Source: RNAcentral